UACCUGGUUGAUCCUGCCAGUAAUCAUAUGCUUGUCUCAAAGAUUAAGCCAUGCAUGUCUAAGUUCAUGCCGAAAUAAGGCGAAACCGCGAAUGGCUCAUUAAAUCAGUUAUGGUUCCUUAGAUCGUUUCUUCCUACUUGGAUAACUGUGGCAAUUCUAGAGCUAAUACAUGCAGUGAGCCUGAAGCCCUUUGGGCGACGGGUGCUUUUAUUAGACCAAGAUCGAUCGGGUUUCGGCCCGUAUUGUGUGGUGACUCUGGAUAACUUUGUGCUGAUCGCAUGGCCACGAGCCGGCGACGUUUCUUUCAAGUGUCUGCCUUAUCAACUUUCGAUGGUAGGUUACUUGCUUACCAUGGUUGUUACGGGUAACGGAGAAUCAGGGUUCGAUUCCGGAGAGGGAGCCUGAGAAACGGCUACCACAUCCAAGGAAGGCAGCAGGCGCGCAAAUUACCCACUCCCGGCACGGGGAGGUAGUGACGAAAAAUAACAAUACGGGACUCUUUUGAGGCCCCGUAAUUGAAAUGAGUACACUCUAAAUCCUUUAACGAGGAUCAAUUGGAGGGCAAGUCUGGUGCCAGCAGCCGCGGUAAUUCCAGCUCCAAUAGCGUAUACUAAAGCUGCUGCGGUUAAAAAGCUCUUAGUUGGAUCUCAGUUCCAGACGAGUAGUGCAUCUACCCGAUGCGACGGCUCGGACUGAACAUCAUGCCGGUCCUUUCUUGGUGCACUUCAUUGUGUGCCUCGAGAAGGCCGGUGCUUUUACUUUGAAAAAAUUAGAGUGCUCAACGCAGGCGAGUCGCCUGAAUAAACUUGCAUGGAAUAAUAGAACAAGACCUCGUUUCUGUUCUGUUGGUUUUUGGAAUACGAGGUAAUGAUUAAGAGGGACAGACGGGGGCAUUCGUAUUGCGGCGCUAGAGGUGAAAUUCUUGGACCGUCGCAAGACGAACUACUGCGAAAGCAUUUGCCAAGAAUGUUUUCUUUGAUCAAGAACGAAAGUCAGAGGUUCGAAGGCGAUCAGAUACCGCCCUAGUUCUGACCAUAAACGAUGCCAACCAGCGAUCCGCCUGAGUUACUCAAAUGACUCGGCGGGCAGCUUCCGGGAAACCAAAGUGUUUGGGUUCCGGGGGAAGUAUGGUUGCAAAGCUGAAACUUAAAGGAAUUGACGGAAGGGCACCACCAGGAGUGGAGCCUGCGGCUUAAUUUGACUCAACACGGGAAAACUUACCCGGCCCGGACACUGGGAGGAUUGACAGAUUGAGAGCUCUUUCUUGAUUCGGUGGAUGGUGGUGCAUGGCCGUUCUUAGUUGGUGGAGCGAUUUGUCUGGUUAAUUCCGAUAACGAACGAGACUCUAGCCUAUUAAAUAGGUGCGGGGUUCCCAGCACCUUACAACCUUCUUAGAGGGACAAGCGGCUCCUAGCCGCACGAAACAGAGCAAUAACAGGUCUGUGAUGCCCUUAGAUGUCCGGGGCCGCACGCGCGCUACACUGAAGGAAGCAGCGUGUCUUUAUCCCUGUCUGAAAAGACUGGGUAACCCGUGGAACUUCUUUCGUGAUUGGGAUAGGGGCUUGCAAUUGUUCCCCUUGAACGAGGAAUUCCCAGUAAGCGCGAGUCAUAAGCUCGCGUUGAUUACGUCCCUGCCCUUUGUACACACCGCCCGUCGCUACUACCGAUUGAAUGAUUUAGUGAGGUCUUCGGACCGAUGUCCGGCGCGGCCUUUCGGUUGCGCCGGUCUGUUGGAAAGAUGACCAAACUUGAUCAUUUAGAGGAAGUAAAAGUCGUAACAAGGUUUCCGUAGGUGAACCUGCGGAAGGAUCAUUA
Molecule: ribosomal RNA, 1815 nt
Filed under: Dermacentor andersoni
Lineage: Eukaryota; Metazoa; Arthropoda; Arachnida; Ixodida; Ixodidae
Description: small subunit ribosomal RNA
Rfam family: Eukaryotic small subunit ribosomal RNA
Source: RNAcentral